This 239-nucleotide ribosomal RNA is filed under the name actinobacterium J. Its description in RNAcentral is "partial 16S ribosomal RNA". It matches the Rfam family "Bacterial small subunit ribosomal RNA", at positions 1145 to 1382 of the family's 1533-position model. Lineage: Bacteria; Bacillati; Actinomycetota; Actinomycetes. The record is from RNAcentral.
GAGACUGCCGGGGUCAACUCGGAGGAAGGUGGGGACGACGUCAAGUCAUCAUGCCCCUUAUGUCCAGGGCUUCACACAUGCUACAAUGGCCGGUACAGAGGGCUGCGAUMCCGWGAGGUGGAGCGAAUCCCUUAAAGCCGGUCUCAGUUCGGAUCGGGGUCUGCAACUCGACCCCGUGAAGUCGGAGUCGCUAGUAAUCGCAGAUCAGCAACGCUGCGGUGAAUACGUUCCCGGGCCUU